AAAAAAAAAAAAAAUUAGUCCUUUUAAAUUUAAAAAGUAUAGGUAUAUGAAGUUUAAGAUUUUUACAUUGUGUACUAUGUUAUAAACUGAUUACUACUGAUUAGGUAAUGGAAGUUACCUAUGUCACAUAGGCUAUGUCAGUUGUGCAUCCGAAAAUCGUCAUAAUAAUAUGAAGGUUGUAAAUCAUCAUACCUAAUAAAAGCAAUGCCCCGGAAAUGGUCGGAUAGCUCGUAGUCUGCCCAUCAUUGGAAAAAUCAUUAAAAAAAAAUUCAAGAACUGCUUCUGUAAAAGAUUGGCUUCAAUAUAAACAAAAUUUACCUACCCACAUAUUUUAUGAAACACAAUUUAAAUCAUAUUUAAAAUGUUAGAGAGUUGAUGAAGGUUAAAGAAUUGCAUUUAAAAUGUAUUUUUUCAGUGAUUUUUUCCUACUAAAUAUUCAAAAA
Molecule: non-coding RNA, 443 nt
Organism: Cinara cedri
Lineage: Eukaryota; Metazoa; Arthropoda; Insecta; Hemiptera; Aphididae
Source: the annotation of a GenBank genome assembly